AACGAACGCUGGCGGCAUGGCUAACACAUGGAAGUCGAACGAGAUCUUCGGUCCUAGUGUCGCACGGGUGCGUAACGCGUGGGACUCCGCCCUCGGGUUCGGUAUAACAGCUGGAACCGACCUCAAAUACCGGACGAUGAGGAAAGUUCAAAGAUUUAUCGCCAGAGGAUGAUCCCGCGUAGGAUUAGCUGAGUGGUGUAGUAGAGGCGCACGAAGGCGAAGAUCCUUAGCUGGUCUGAGAGGAUGAUCAGCCACACGGGGAACGAGACACGGGCCAGACUCCUACGGGAGGCAGCAGUGGGGAAUAUUGGACAAUGGGCAAAAGCCUGAUCCAGCAAUGCCGCGUGAGUGAUGAAGGCCUUAGGGUUGUAAAGCUCUUUUACCCGGGAUGAUAAUGACAGUACCGGGAGAAUAAGCUCCGGCUAACUCCGUGCCAGCCGCCGCCGUAA
Molecule: ribosomal RNA, 449 nt
Filed under: uncultured bacterium
Lineage: Bacteria
Description: partial 16S ribosomal RNA
Rfam family: Bacterial small subunit ribosomal RNA
Source: RNAcentral